GAGGAGUCAGCCCGGGUGAGCCAAACAAGAUCCGUUUGACGUAGAUAAAACGAAUUAGUCUCAUGUAACCGGUGCCGUAGAUACGUUCGUGGGGAGCUGAUGCGCAUUAGCGUAGUGCGUAUUUGGAACGGAUCGCUCAUGUAACCCCGGUAUAUAAUGGGGUCUGUUAUUUGAUUUGAUUUUGUUAGGUGAAGAUGGAGAUGGCCUUGGAAAUAUGCGGAAGGCACUGUGACUAUAAAUAAUGGAAGGCUCGUUGCUGUCGGCGGUUCUGAAGUCAGCGGUUCGAUCCAGCUGAAGGACGUCACCUGGCAGGAAGUUGCAGAGUGUGGUGGCCAGUAUCAAGCCACAUUGUCCAGAAACCAUCACAUUAUCUCCAGGUCACUAGUCGCCGGUGCUCGAGCUGACGGCGUCGUUCAAGGGCUCCACGGUGACAAGCGCCGUCACCGUUGCCGCCGCCGCCGAGACCAUCCGACUCCUGGGCCCUGUUUCACGGCAGCGUACUGCAGCGCGCUACGCAGCGCUGCUGUGCUAGUGCGGCGAUUGAGACGAAUUCGGCUCGACGCUCCAGCGUUGCGAAACACCCGUGUCUAUGAAGGAUACGCCGAUACGUGCCCCAGCUUCAAGCCCUUCCCUCCCCCCCCCCCGUCCCGUCCCAUCCCAACGGUGUUGGCCGAGAUUGGGGUUUGGUAUUUUAACGGGCUCUCCGAUGACGUCCCGCAAUUUGUGUUAUGUAAUUUGACGAUUAUGUCGUAGUCUCAUUCUGUCUCGAUAUGCUAAUAAAUGAUAAAUGGGACGGAGGUUGGAA
Molecule: long non-coding RNA, 805 nt
Organism: Amphibalanus amphitrite
Lineage: Eukaryota; Metazoa; Arthropoda; Thecostraca; Balanomorpha; Balanidae
Exons: 3
Source: RefSeq, a predicted model, not a curated record